UCCCUGAUUUAGGGGCGGACGGGUGAGUAAUGCCUAGGAAUUUGCCUGGUAGUGGGGGAUAACGUUCCGAAAGGAACGCUAAUACCGCGUACGUCCUACGGGAGAAAGCAGGGGACCUUCGGGCCUUGCGCUAUCAGAUGAGCCUAGGUCGGAUUAGCUAGUUGGUGGGGUAAAGGCCUACCAAGGCAUCGAUCAGUAGCUGGUCUGAGAGGACGACCAGCCACACUGGAACUGAGACACGGUCCAGACUCCUACGGGAGGCAGCAGUGGGGAAUUUUGGACAAUGGGGGCAACCCUGAUCCAGCAAUGCCGCGUGAGUGAAGAAGGCCUUCGGGUUGUAAAGCUCUUUUGUCAGGGAAGAAACGGUGAGGGUUAAUAUCCUUUGCUAAUGACGGUACGUGAAGA
This 405-nucleotide ribosomal RNA is filed under the name uncultured bacterium. Its description in RNAcentral is "bacterial SSU rRNA". It matches the Rfam family "Bacterial small subunit ribosomal RNA", at positions 84 to 485 of the family's 1533-position model. The record is from RNAcentral.